UUAGUUAUGUUAGGAAGUUUGCCAUCUUUAUGACCGGCCCUGGUAACUUCACCCAACUUCUCUUAUCCCCAGAACACAGUAACUUAAUAACAUAACUGUUUUUCUGACAUUUUUGGGAAAUUUAAGGGAAAAUAAAAAAUACAGCCCAAGCAGAGCCCCAAGUCCCAUGGAGACGUCCUCGAGGGCGUGGAUGUUCUCCCCAUCAAAGGCCAGCGGGAUUUCACUCUCACGGUGAGAUGGAUUUCCACCGAUGUGCAGUAAAGGAGUGAAGAGCGGUGAAAUCUGUGUCAACAAAACCUUCCUCUCCUCUGAAGACCCAGUGAGGGUGGAGCUCAGUCAGAGAGCCGUUGAGGGACUGGUUAGGAAGAACACUUCUACAGCCAGAGAGGGGCAGUCAGGAAAUGGAACGGCAAGGCCACAGAACAUGACAUAAGCAGAGCUGUGGGAGACCACCUCAAGCCCCUGGUAGAGCCGGGGGUGGUGUUUACCACUCCACCACACCUUCAGCAGGCUGGAAAAGUGGGAUUGAUACUGUUUUUCAUACUAAGAGGGACCAGGAGUCUGUUGAUUGUUCAGUCUUUGGGUUCAUUUGUUGAAAUCAAAUCAAUCAAGCUUUAUUUAUACAGCACAUUUCAGACAUGGAUGCAACACAAUGGCUUCACAGGAAAAAAACUAAAUGAAAAUAAACUAAAAUAUUUAGUACAUAACAAACAGAAGAUAAAUAACUGAAAGACUAAUGAACAUUUAAGGACAUUUCAUUGAUUAAAAUAUUAAUUGGAUGCAAUAUCCAACCCAAAAUAUUAGCUUCUUUUUUAGGAGGGGCUCUGAAAGACACUAUGGGGUGUCCACUGAAAGUUGACUAGUAACAACAACUGGGACAUAAGACACCCACCAUGAGACCCACUAAAUCUGCCCAAGAAGAGGGAAACAAAAGAAAAACCCUCACCAAACUUAAAGACAGGAAGUAAUCCAAAAAGGUGGAGCAACUAAAGGUGUUGACUCUCCACAUCUAUCAAGACAACUGGAGCACUGGGCCAGACACUCUUAAAUAGAACCUGGACCACUCUUACAUACUGACUAACGAGGUGACACCAAUCAGUGCGUCCAACAUGCUAACGAGAUAGACGUGUUAAAGUCCAACCUCAAAACAUAAAUAGAAAAACCAAAGCCUGUAUCACCUUCCCCCUUAAGAAAACAAAUAUAUCCUAUAUUUUUGUUGGACACGUUUGCUCACCACCAACAGAAAACAACUUCAAUUUCACAUUAUAAUCAACUACAAUGCUUCACCUUCACCAAUAUAAACAUGGUGUCUACUGGCUGUCAACAAUUAAAAACAAGAAAAAACACUUAUUCCUAAAUAAUAAUAAAGAAUCAUGUUAUUUUUUUCUCCUUUUUCUUUCUAUAGAAUCCUAAAACUCACUAGCUUCUAGAACUCUCGUCCUCUUGGAACGAGCCCAAACAAAACUCAGAUCAAAUUGUAUUAGUCACAUGCACCGAAUACAACAGUGAAAUGCUUCCUUAUGAGCCCCUAACCAACAGUGCAGUUUCAAUACGGAAAAGAAUAAGAGAUAAAACUCCAAAUAAACACACUGGCUCAACGCAAAACACAAAUCUUUUUGACUGCCCACCCCAGAGAUAAUCAGCAACCAAGUUUUCCUUACCACGGACUGAUUUCAAGAGGAAACUCCUGCGAUAUCCGUAAUAACUUUCCACCUCACUGCGGAGCUUCUCUCUCUUUUCAGGGUUCACUAGAUAGGCAUGUUGUUGGAUCUGGGCCCAGUCCCCAAUAUCAUGCUCUAGAACAUUUGGUUUGGCACAUGUGAGAAUUAACCCUGAUAUUCUAAAAACAGGGCAACAAUGUCAAUAUAAUUGUACCAAAAAAUGGUCAUGUUGGUUGCAUGAAUAAAUAUCACUACCAAAUGUUACAUGAAAUGUAAAUAUGAAAUAUUUGAUUGCAUAGUCAUAUUUUCAACGUCUUUUCAAUAUAAUUUUGCUUGGUGGGAUAGCCCAAUGUCAAAACACAGUUUUAACGUGUCCAAAUCAAUAACCAAUAUGCAGGAACAGUUUGGGGAUAAAUUGAAAACCUAAACAUAACAUGUGCUAUAUACACAAACAUCUGCCACAAUAAUCAUAUUACUUGUAUUUUUUAAACAAGCUCCUUAUAAACUGCACAAGCACCAGAAACACUGUUGUUUUGACAAAUAGCAAUAAAUCACUGAUAUCGAUUAGGUGGGAAAUUAGGUUGUACGUGCUGUUGAAACUGACACAACAAAAAAAACACAUGGAAAUGGGAGAUAUAUUUUACCUCCCUGGUUAGAGGACAACCUGCAGAAGAGUCAGCUACAUUUGGGAGUGAUGCAUUAAAUUUAGGGGUCACUAAACAAGGGAAUGCAACACUUAUUUGUCAUCACUCAUCGAUAUCAUGCUAAAAAAAUUGUGAGAGAGGAGAGAGAUGAGGUUGCACGUCCUGUUAAAACUAACAGCUCAAAAACCACACGGAAUCUGGGAGUACAUCCCUGGGAGUACAUCCCUGGUUAGAGGACAAUUUGUAGAAAACAGCACGCCACAUUUUGAAGUGUUGCAUUUUGAUUCAAGUGGGUCACCAACGUGGUAAGUGUAACACAACUCCUAAUUGUCCCUAGAAUUUCUAAGCAAACAGCUGGAGGCAGGGCUUUCUCCUGUAGAUCUCCAUUU
Oncorhynchus gorbuscha (pink salmon) is the source of this 2694-nucleotide long non-coding RNA. RefSeq lists it as uncharacterized. The record is from RefSeq and is a predicted model, not a curated record. NCBI's taxonomy places the organism in Eukaryota, Metazoa, Chordata, Actinopteri, Salmoniformes, Salmonidae. The transcript is spliced from 3 exons.